UCAGGCUAGGUAAUCCAUCUGAAGCUAAGCAGGUUUGGGCCUGGCCAGUAUGUGGAUGAGAGACCAAUUAUGAAAGCUGGGUAUCUGCUGGAA
This 93-nucleotide ribosomal RNA is filed under the name Paramormyrops kingsleyae. The record is from RNAcentral. Lineage: Eukaryota; Metazoa; Chordata; Actinopteri; Osteoglossiformes; Mormyridae.